UAAAGGAGUAGGUCCGGUAGGGACCGAUUUUGGCCUCAAAUUUCAGGUUCAUCUGACGAAAGAUUUUGACCACUUUUUAAACACUUAAGUGUCUAUUUUAUUUGAAUUAAUUAGUUUAUGUGAAAGAUUUUAACAGAUUUAGUCAUUAAAAACGAUCCGAUUCAAGCUCAAAUAUGAAAAAUCUACCUAAUAUGCCGAAAAAUGUCACUUUUCAGAUGGUUUUUGGUAAAAAUGAAAGUGGCCGCAUCCGUGUUCAUCCUCAACCUUUAUAUAUGUUAUGUAUUAUCAUAAAAUACAACUUAUCUCCUGCACCACUUAGAAAACACCAUAUUUUCAAAUUAAACUGUCACAUCAAUUAUAUUAUGUUAGUUCACAGACACCACAUGGUUUCUCUCUCAAUUUAUAGGUGACAAUUGUUGCAAGAAGGGAUAAAAAUGGAAUACACAAUACCAAUCAAGAAAAGUAUCUUUUUU
This 473-nucleotide long non-coding RNA is filed under the name Mytilus galloprovincialis (Mediterranean mussel). The record is from RNAcentral. Lineage: Eukaryota; Metazoa; Mollusca; Bivalvia; Mytilida; Mytilidae.